RNAcentral lists this ribosomal RNA (460 nucleotides) under uncultured bacterium. RNAcentral describes it as "partial 16S ribosomal RNA". It matches the Rfam family "Bacterial small subunit ribosomal RNA", at positions 338 to 795 of the family's 1533-position model. The record is from RNAcentral.
CCUACGGGAGGCUGCAGUGAGGAAUAUUGGUCAAUGGACGAGAGUCUGAACCAGCCAAGUCGCGUGAAGGAUGACUGCCCUAUGGGUUGUAAACUUCUUUUAUAUGGGAAUAAAAUGUUCCACGUGUGUGAUUUUGUAUGUACCCUAUGAAUAAGGAUCGGCUAACUCCGUGCCAGCAGCCGCGGUAAUACGGAGGAUCCGAGCGUUAUCCGGAUUUAUUGGGUUUAAAGGGAGCGUAGGUGGAUUGUUAAGUCAGUUGUGAAAGUUUGCGGCUCAACCGUGAAAUUGCAGUUGAUACUGGCAGACUAGAGUACAGUAGAGGUGGGCGGAAUGCGUGGUGUAGCGGUGAAAUGCUUAGAUAUCACGAAGAACACCGAUUGCGAAGGCAGCUCACUGGACUGUAACUGACACUGAGGCUCGAAAGUGUGGGUAGCAAACAGGAUUAGAUACCCUUGUAGUC